GGCAGGUUGCCCGAGUGGUCAAUGGGAACGGUCUGUAAAACCGUCGGCUCAGCCUACCCAGGUUCGAACCCUGGACCUGCCACCA
RNAcentral lists this transfer RNA (85 nucleotides) under Streptosporangium becharense. RNAcentral's name for it is "tRNA-Tyr". It matches the Rfam family "tRNA". Rfam says of the family: Transfer RNA (tRNA) molecules are approximately 80 nucleotides in length. Their secondary structure includes four short double-helical elements and three loops (D, anti-codon, and T loops). Lineage: Bacteria; Bacillati; Actinomycetota; Actinomycetes; Streptosporangiales; Streptosporangiaceae. The record is from RNAcentral.